CCUACGGGUGGCAGCAGUGGGGAAUAUUGGACAAUGGGGGCAACCCUGAUCCAGCCAUGCUGCGUGUGUGAAGAAGGCCCUCGGGUUGUAAAGCACUUUCAGUGAGGAAGAACGCCUGGUGGUUAAUACCCAUCAGGAAAGACAUCACUCACAGAAGAAGCACCGGCUAACUCCGUGCCAGCAGCCGCGGUAAUACGGAGGGUGCGAGCGUUAAUCGGAAUUACUGGGCGUAAAGCGCGCGUAGGUGGCUUGAUAAGCCGGUUGUGAAAGCCCCGGGCUCAACCUGGGAACGGCAUCCGGAACUGUCAAGCUAGAGUGCAGGAGAGGAAGGUAGAAUUCCCGGUGUAGCGGUGAAAUGCGUAGAGAUCGGGAGGAAUACCAGUGGCGAAGGCGGCCUUCUGGACUGACACUGACACUGAGGUGCGAAAGCGUGGGUAGCAAACAGGAUUAGAUACCCUUGUAGUC
Molecule: ribosomal RNA, 465 nt
Filed under: Vreelandella stevensii
Lineage: Bacteria; Pseudomonadati; Pseudomonadota; Gammaproteobacteria; Oceanospirillales; Halomonadaceae
Description: partial 16S ribosomal RNA
Rfam family: Bacterial small subunit ribosomal RNA
Source: RNAcentral